This 253-nucleotide ribosomal RNA is filed under the name uncultured bacterium. RNAcentral describes it as "partial 16S ribosomal RNA". It matches the Rfam family "Bacterial small subunit ribosomal RNA", at positions 524 to 776 of the family's 1533-position model. The record is from RNAcentral.
UACGUAGGGGGCUAGCGUUGUCCGGAAUCAUUGGGCGUAAAGAGCGUGUAGGCGGUCCGGUAAGUCCGCUGUGAAAGUCGGGGGCUCAACCCUCGAAUGCCGGUGGAUACUGCCGGACUAGAGUUCGGAAGAGGCGAGUGGAAUUCCCGGUGUAGCGGUGAAAUGCGCAGAUAUCGGGAGGAACACCUAUGGCGAAGGCAGCUCGCUGGGACGUUACUGACGCUGAGACGCGAAAGCGUGGGGAGCAAACAGG